GAUGAACGCUGGCGGCGUGCUUAAUACAUGCAAGUCGAACGGAAAGGCCCUGCUCUUGUGGGGUGCUCGAGUGGCGAACGGGUGAGUAACACGUGAGUAUCCUGCCCCUGUCUUUGGGAUAACUUCAGGAAACUGGGGCUAAUAUCCGAUAGGAGCUCCUGCUGCACGGGGGGGGUUGGAAAGUUUCGGCGGUUGGGGCUGGUCUCGCGGCUUAUCAGCUUGAUGGUGGGGUAGUGGCUUACCAAGGCUUUGACGGGUAGCCGGCCUUGGAGGGGGACCGGCCUCAAUGGUACUGCGGGACGGCCCAGACUCCUACGUGAGGCAGCAGGGGAGAAUAUUGCACAAUGGGCGGAAGCCUGAUGCAGCAACGCCGCGUGCGGGAUGACGGCCUUCUGGUUGUAAACCGCUUUCGCCUGAGACGAAGCGGGAGUGACGGUAAUGAGUAAAGAAGCACCGGCUAACUACGUG
Molecule: ribosomal RNA, 468 nt
Filed under: uncultured bacterium
Lineage: Bacteria
Description: partial 16S ribosomal RNA
Rfam family: Bacterial small subunit ribosomal RNA
Source: RNAcentral